GGGCCCGCACAAGCGGUGGAGCAUGUGGUUUAAUUCGACGCAACGCGAAGAACCUUACCUGGGCUCGAAAUGUUAUGGACCGGAGUAGAAAUAUUCCUUCCCAGCAAUGGGCCGUAAUAUAGGUGCUGCAUGGCUGUCGUCAGCUCGUGUCGUGAGAUGUUGGGUUAAGUCCCGCAACGAGCGCAACCCUUAUCCCCAGUUGCCAUCAUUUAGUUGGGCACUCUGGUGAAACCGCCUCGGAUAACGGGGAGGAAGGUGGGGAUGACGUCAAGUCCUCAUGGCCUUUAUGUCCAGGGCUACACACGUGCUACAAUGGCCGGUACAAACCGUCGCAAACCCGCGAGGGGGAGCUAAUCGGAUAAAGCCGGCCUCAGUUCGGAUCGCAGUCUGCAACUCGACUGCGUGAAGCUGGAAUCGCUAGUAAUCGCGGAUCAGAAUGCCGCGGUGAAUACGUUCCCGGGCCUUGUACACACCGCCCGUCACAUCACGAAAGUGGGUUGCACUAGAAGUCGGUGAGCUAACCGCAAGGGAGCAGCCGCCCAAGGUGUAAUUCAUGAUUGGGGUGAAGUCGUAACAAGGUAGCCGUAGGAGAACCUGCGGCU
RNAcentral lists this ribosomal RNA (602 nucleotides) under uncultured Acidobacteriota bacterium. RNAcentral's name for it is "bacterial SSU rRNA". It matches the Rfam family "Bacterial small subunit ribosomal RNA", at positions 917 to 1519 of the family's 1533-position model. Lineage: Bacteria; Pseudomonadati; Acidobacteriota. The record is from RNAcentral.